This 432-nucleotide ribosomal RNA is filed under the name uncultured bacterium. RNAcentral describes it as "partial 16S ribosomal RNA". It matches the Rfam family "Bacterial small subunit ribosomal RNA", at positions 29 to 507 of the family's 1533-position model. The record is from RNAcentral.
ACGAACGCUGGCGGCAUGCCUCACCCAUGCCAGUCGAACGAGACCUUCGGGUCUAGUGGCGCACGGGUGCGUAACGCGUGGGAACCUGCCCUUAGGUUCGGAAUAACUCCCCGAAAGGGGUGCUAAUACCGGAUAAUGUCUUCGGACCAAAGAUUUAUCGCCUUUGGAUGGGCCCGCGUUGGAUUAGCUAGUUGGUAGGGUAAAAGCCUACCAAGGCGACGAUCCAUAGCUGGUCUGAGAGGAUGAUCAGCCACACUGGGACUGAGACACGGCCCAGACUCCUACGGGAGGCAGCAGUGGGGAAUAUUGGACAAUGGGCGAAAGCCUGAUCCAGCAAUGCCGCGUGAGUGAUGAAGGCCUUAGGGUUGUAAAGCUCUUUUACCCGGGAUGAUAAUGACAGUACCGGGAGAAUAAGCUCCGGCUAACUCCGUG